Molecule: long non-coding RNA, 1129 nt
Filed under: Solanum tuberosum (potato)
Lineage: Eukaryota; Viridiplantae; Streptophyta; Magnoliopsida; Solanales; Solanaceae
Description: long non-coding RNA (STUB_LNC000313)
Source: RNAcentral
AAAUUACCUACCACUAAUCUGUAGCAAGCAAGAUUUAUUCUUUGUUCUAAUCUUUUAUUCUACACUUUCCAUAAUAAACUUAAUCACCAAGAGGUUAACAAGCAAGCUUUGACCAUCACUAAUAAAAAGAGAAAAGAAAGCUAUUGCAAGUUCUCAACACCAAAUUUGAUAGAUUUACCCUUUGGUGCAAAAAAUUUACACUUAAACAAGACCCGAUCUAUAACCAUGCUUGCAACAAAUUACAAAUUAAUAUGCAUUAUUAUGUAAAAUUUAUCAAGACAAGAUGAAAAAGUAAAAUCUGGGCAGCCAAAGCUUGUAUGACCCUGAACUAUGGUGAGAAAAUUAAAUUGGAAAACAUUAUAGAAGAGCAUUUUAGAGUUAGCAAAAGAAACUGACAAUGACUAAGUUCGCAUUAGGGCCGAUUCAAUAUUCAUGGACAGAAAUAUUUAUGUUAAUGUCCCAAUACUUCAUAGCAGUAGACACAUGGGAAGAACAUAUUCAGCUAAAAUCAUCAACACAAUUAAAUUCCAAACUAUGAAAACCCAAUAAUACUAUGAUUAACUAGCCAAGAGUUGAUAAAGGAAGUUGAAAAACACAUAAUAAAGAUGAGAAGAGUUCACCUUUUUCCGGGUAGGAACUGAGACAACGAGUUUAACCACGAAGAACUACCACCACUGUGAGCCUGCUUCGAUGGAUUCCGAAAAAUAAAUUAACUUUGAAUUCUAAUAAAGGAGACUCAAACUCUCUGUUUUUUUUUUUUUUACUCUUUCCGGUUGUUUUUUUUUUUUUUAAUCAAUUUUCCUCUAUUUCUCCCCCGUUUUUAGUGAUCAAAAGAGAUGAAUAUAUAGAUGGAAAUUAGGGGGAAAUAGGGUGAAACUUUUCAUUUCAAAUUCAAAUUUCUUGCUCCUUUUCAAUGCCAACAGGGAGCAACUGAGUUUGGCAUGAAAUUUCUCCAAAAUCCCAGAAAAUCCGAGGUAGCAGGGUUGCUGCGUACAGCAGGCUGUUGACAUUUUGGACUGCUGCUGCUAUUGUUGAAAUUAGAAGGGCAAAAGGGGGUGGGGCCGGUUGGUGUAUGUUGUUUUGUUGUUAUAUGUAUUGUGAGUUUGGGGAAUUAAAAGGGUGGGGUGUU